AUGAUGGAGCAGAUGAAGACGGUGCGGGACGCCAGCCAGGCCACCUACGAUGCUAGCUCGGCUCUCCAGAGCAACGUUCAGAAAUCUUGUGAUCUUGGAGCUCGCUUUGCUGACUUGGAGAGACAGCAGAUCCAACUGAACCUUGACUUGGAGCUGGCCAAGACAAAACUGCAAAAAGUCAAGGACGGCGCCACUGCUCUGACGAAGAAGGAUCAGGAUUUGGCUGCUGCUCGCAAGGAAGCUGACGACAUAACUGCUCUGGCUGAACAGAAGCUGGCUUCGGUCGACCAGUUGGAAGAAGAGAAUACCAGGCUGAAAUCUGCUCUGAACAAAGCCAACAAGGAGUGCUCACGCUGGAAGAAGGAGAACCUCAACCUGGGCGAGAAGAUGGAAGGCAUCGCUCGCAGGAGGGACGAUCUGGAGAGCUAUCUAAGGAGCCUUGCCAAGAAGUUGUUCAUCAAGAUUGAAGUUUUGCCAGAACUUCGAGCAGGAGACUGGGCGGAUCGAACCUGGUUUGGAUCGAAUCAAUUCUCCCGUGAAAGAUGA
This 546-nucleotide ribosomal RNA is filed under the name Triticum aestivum (bread wheat). Its description in RNAcentral is "partial small subunit ribosomal RNA". The record is from RNAcentral. Lineage: Eukaryota; Viridiplantae; Streptophyta; Magnoliopsida; Poales; Poaceae.